UACAGAGGGGGCAAGCGUUGUUCGGAAUUACUGGGCGUAAAGGGCGCGUAGGCGGCCUUCUAAGUCGAACGUGAAAUCCCUGGGCUCAACCCAGGAACUGCGUCCGAUACUGAAAGGCUUGAAUCCGGGAGAGGGAUGCGGAAUUCCAGGUGUAGCGGUGAAAUGCGUAGAUAUUGGGAAGAACACCGGUGGCGAAGGCGGCGCUCUGGACCGAGACUGACGCUGAGGCGCGAAAGCGUGGGGAGCAAACAGG
RNAcentral lists this ribosomal RNA (253 nucleotides) under uncultured bacterium. RNAcentral's name for it is "partial 16S ribosomal RNA". It matches the Rfam family "Bacterial small subunit ribosomal RNA", at positions 524 to 776 of the family's 1533-position model. The record is from RNAcentral.